RNAcentral lists this ribosomal RNA (497 nucleotides) under uncultured bacterium. RNAcentral's name for it is "partial 16S ribosomal RNA". It matches the Rfam family "Bacterial small subunit ribosomal RNA", at positions 28 to 507 of the family's 1533-position model. The record is from RNAcentral.
GAUGAACGCUGGCGGCGUGCCUAAUACAUGCAAGUCGAGCGAACGGACGAGGAGCUUGCUUUUCUGAUGUUAGCGGCGGACGGGUGAGUAACACGUGGAUAACCUCCCUAUAAGUCUGGGAUAACUUCGGGAAACCGGAGCUAAUACCGGAUAAUAUCUUGCACCGCAUGGGUCAAUGGUGAAAGACGGUCUUGCGGUCACUUAUAGAUGGAUCCCGGCUGCAUUAGCUAGUUGGUAAGGUAACGGCUUACCAAGGCAACGAUGCAUAGCCGACCUGAGAGGGGGAUCGCCCACAUUGGAGCGGAGACACGGUCCAGACUCCUACGGGAGGCAGCAGUAGGGAAUCUUCCGCAAUGGGCGAAAGCAUGACGGAGCAACGCCGCGUGAGUGAUGAAGGUCUUCGGAUCGUAAAACUCUGUUAUUAGGGAAGAACAUAUGUGUAAGUAACUGUGCACAUCGUGACGGUACCUAAUCAGAAAGCCGCGGCUAACUACGUG